UGCCCCAGUAACGGCGAGUGAAGCGGCAACAGCUCAAAUUUGAAAUCUGGCCCCCCGACCGCGGGGGCCCGAGUUGUAAUUUGCAGAGGAUGCUUUCGGCGCGGCGCCCUCCGAGUUCCCUGGAACGGGACGCCACAGAGGGUGAGAGCCCCGUACGGUCGGACGCCCAGCCACUGUAAAGCUCCCUCGACGAGUCGAGUAGUUUGGGAAUGCUGCUCUAAACGGGAGGUAUAUGUCUUCUAAAGCUAAAUACUGGCCAGAGACCGAUAGCGCACAAGUAGAGUGAUCGAAAGAUGAAAAGCACUUUGGAAAGAGAGUUAAACAGCACGUGAAAUUGUUGAAAGGGAAGCGCUCGAGACCAGACUUGGGCCCGGGGGAUCACCCGGCGUUCUCGCCGGUGCACUCCGCCGGGCCCAGGCCAGCAUCAGUUCGCCGCGGGGGACAAAGGCGCCGGGAACGUGGCUCCCCACGGGGNNNUGUUAUAGCCCGGCGCGCAAUGCCCCGCGCGCGGACUGAGGCACGCGCUCCGCAAGGAUGCUGGCGUAAUGGUCCCCAGCGACCCGUCUUGAAACACGGACCAAGGAGUCGUCCUCGUAUGCGAGUGUUCGGGCGUCAAACCCCUACGCGUAAUGAAAGUGAGCGCAGGUGAGAGCUUCGGCGCACCACCGACCGAUCCCGAUGGCCCGCCCGGACGGAUUUGAGUAGGAGCAUACGGGGCCGGACCCGAAAGAAGGUGAACUAUGCCUGUAUAGGGUGAAGCCAGAGGAAACUCUGGUGGAGGCUCGCAGCGGUUCUGACGUGCAAAUCGAUCGUCAAAUAUGGGCAUGGGGGCGAAAGACUAAUCGAACCUUCUAGUAGCUGGUUUCCGCCGAAGUUUCCCUCAGGAUAGCAGUGUCGAGACCUCCAGUUUUAUGAGGUAAAGCGAAUGAUUAGGGACCCGGGGGCGCUACCUAGCCUCCAUCCAUUCUCAAACUUUAAAUAUGUAAGAAGCCCUUGUUACUUCGUUGAACGUGGGCAUUCGAAUGCAUCGACACUAGUGGGCCAUUUUUGGUAAGCAGAACUGGCGAUGCGGGAUGAACCGAACGCGAGGUUAAGGUGCCAGAGUAGACGCUCAUCAGACACCACAAAAGGCGUUAGUACAUCUUGACAGCAGGACGGUGGCCAUGGAAGUCGGAACCCGCUAAGGACUGUGUAACAACUCACCUGCCGAAUGUACUAGCCCUGAAAAUGGAUGGCGCUCAAGCGUCUCACCCAUACCUCGCCCUCGGGGUGGAAGCGAAGCCCCGAGGAGUAGGCGGACGUGGGGGUCAGUGACGAAGCCCAGGCGCGA
RNAcentral lists this ribosomal RNA (1330 nucleotides) under Paraisaria sp. Its description in RNAcentral is "partial large subunit ribosomal RNA". It matches the Rfam family "Eukaryotic large subunit ribosomal RNA", at positions 76 to 1420 of the family's 3401-position model. Lineage: Eukaryota; Fungi; Ascomycota; Sordariomycetes; Hypocreales; Ophiocordycipitaceae. The record is from RNAcentral.